This 253-nucleotide ribosomal RNA is filed under the name uncultured bacterium. RNAcentral's name for it is "partial 16S ribosomal RNA". It matches the Rfam family "Bacterial small subunit ribosomal RNA", at positions 524 to 776 of the family's 1533-position model. The record is from RNAcentral.
UACGAAGGGGGCUAGCGUUGUUCGGAAUUACUGGGCGUAAAGCGCACGUAGGCGGACUGGAAAGUCAGAGGUGAAAUCCCAGGGCUCAACCUUGGAACUGCCUUUGAAACUAUCAGUCUGGAGUUCGAGAGAGGUGAGUGGAAUUCCGAGUGUAGAGGUGAAAUUCGUAGAUAUUCGGAGGAACACCAGUGGCGAAGGCGGCUCACUGGCUCGAUACUGACGCUGAGGUGCGAAAGCGUGGGGAGCAAACAGG